This 161-nucleotide ribosomal RNA is filed under the name uncultured bacterium. RNAcentral describes it as "partial 16S rRNA". It matches the Rfam family "Bacterial small subunit ribosomal RNA", at positions 358 to 511 of the family's 1533-position model. The record is from RNAcentral.
GGAAUCUUCCACAAUGGACGAAAGUCUGAUGGAGCAACGCCGCGUGAGUGAAGAAGGUUUUCGGAUCGUAAAGCUCUGUUGUUGGUGAAGAAGGAUAGAGGCAGUAACUGGUCUUUAUUUGACGGUAAUCAACCAGAAAGUCACGGCUAACUACGUGUCAG